ACUCGGGCACGAUCCCUGGACGUUAUACAAGGCCUUGGAACCGACCCGAUGUUCAAUCCUGAGGGA
This 66-nucleotide non-coding RNA is filed under the name Corynebacterium lubricantis DSM 45231. RNAcentral describes it as "L31-Corynebacteriaceae ribosomal protein leader". It matches the Rfam family "L31-Corynebacteriaceae ribosomal protein leader". Lineage: Bacteria; Bacillati; Actinomycetota; Actinomycetes; Mycobacteriales; Corynebacteriaceae. The record is from RNAcentral.